CUUACCAGGUCUUGACAUCCUCUGCUAACCCUAGAGAUAGGGCGUUCCCCUUCCGGGGACGGAGUGACAGGUGGUGCAUGGUUGUCGUCAGCUCGUGUCGUGAGAUGUUGGGUUAAGUCCCGCAACGAGCGCAACCCUUGAUCUUAGUUGCCAGCAUUUAGUUGGGCACUCUAAGGUGACUGCCGGUGACAAACCGGAGGAAGGUGGGGAUGACGUCAAAUCAUCAUGCCCCUUAUGACCUGGGCUACACACGUGCUACAAUGGAUGGUACAAAGGGCAGCAAAACCGCGAGGUCGAGCCAAUCCCAUAAAACCAUUCUCAGUUCGGAUUGUAGGCUGCAACUCGCCUACAUGAAGCCGGAAUCGCUAGUAAUCGCGGAUCAGCAUGCCGCGGUGAAUACGUUCCCGGGCCUUGUACACACCGCCCGUCACACCACGAGAGUUUGUAACACCCGAAGUCGGUGGGGUAACCGUAAGGAGCCAGCCGCCUAAGGUGGGACAGAUGAUUGGGGUGAAGUCGUAACAAGGUAGCCGUAUCGGAAGGUGCGGCUGGAACACCUCCUUCU
RNAcentral lists this ribosomal RNA (565 nucleotides) under Robertmurraya korlensis. RNAcentral's name for it is "bacterial SSU rRNA". It matches the Rfam family "Bacterial small subunit ribosomal RNA", at positions 970 to 1533 of the family's 1533-position model. The record is from RNAcentral. Lineage: Bacteria; Bacillati; Bacillota; Bacilli; Caryophanales; Bacillaceae.